Molecule: long non-coding RNA, 1395 nt
Filed under: Phasianus colchicus (ring-necked pheasant)
Lineage: Eukaryota; Metazoa; Chordata; Aves; Galliformes; Phasianidae
Description: lncRNA (ENSPCLG00000001323.1)
Source: RNAcentral
AUAUGUGCAAGAUAUAUCCAAUACAGUAAUGUAUUCCUGAACCCACAAACAACCUAGUCCCUGAAGGACACAUGAACUGUCUCAUUUGUCUCCAUUGAACCCUACAUGUGAUGGGUUCAAUGCAAACAUAAUGAGCACAAGAAUGGUGAUGACCAAAAUAGUAUUUCAUUUCAAUAGUUUAUUAAAGAUUGCAGAAAAUGUGUGCAUGGGGAUGGUCACAUAUGAAAGACCAGGAAAAUAGACCAGAAAAACCUGGAGCAAGCAGCAAUUUACAAGUAGAAUGAGCCUGUAAAAUUAGUAGAGAUUGAGAAUGUUUACUUCACUUGAGUUUCCCUUCUUAAAUCCCUGCUUAUGAAUACUGAAUGCCUUGAUUAGUUUAUGAAUAAUUCAUCAAUGCAAGCACACACAGAAAAACUGAGAAAGUGUUUGCUUUCAUGAGUUUUAACCACUGUUUUACUUGAGACAUAACAGAAUUCAAGGUAUGUAGAGGAAUUGCUGAAGUGGUGUGGCUGCUAUGAGUCCCAUGGGAAGCUUAAUUUUGAAUACUGCUUGUCCUUCCAGGACUAGCUGGUGAUGAAUCUGGGUCCUGAAGGACAGAUCAUCCAAGGAGGUAGUUCUUAUGUAGCAGUACUGUGAACCUCUUACCCUUCUGGGAGUUUUGUAGUGUGGCACUACAAGUGAUAUCCAUUCACUUGUAUGUCUGUUGCAACAGAAUUGUAUCACACUCUCUAUCCCAUCUCCAUCUCAGAGUUGUAUCCAAUCUCUAUCUCAGUAAGCUCACUCAUUAUUUUCAGGAAAGGGUAAUGGUACUGCAGGAGCUGCUGAGGGCAGGAAGAGCCUCCCACUGACCCCUAGGAUGGAACACAACAAGUCUGCUGAUGCUGCCUCCCAUGCCAUUUUGGCUGUGAGAAAAGAGGUGGUGAUGGAUGUCUGGUCCCAAACUUUGGAUGUCUCAUUGGGUGCUGAGCAGGCCCGUGGAAGCUGUUGCAGUACUCAGAGAUCUUUGUAUGGCAUCUUCAGCUCAAGGCAGUGUUGGAGGACGUCUGUCAUCAAGUAGGGAUGUGGCUGGUGUGAGCGUCACUGAUGUCCACCACCUAUCUUCAUUACUGUGACAUUCUCAUGCUGCCUUCUGCCUCCAACUCUAAGCUCUGUGUAUUUCUGAUUUCCCUGUGCUUGUGCUUUGCUUGUUGUCAGAAAGGUAUCUGAAUGGCAGACAGCUGCCCAGUGUAUCUAUAGAGAUUGUAGAACAUUUUUAAGUGGGAAAAUGAGGAACCUGGCUAUAGAACUAAGGGAGGAAGACCUGAUCUAAGAAGCUUCAGAACUGCUGAUUUAGAACAAUACAUUUCGUAAGGAAAAGAAAACAAAAUAAAUGAAACCACCUUUGAAACCUGUACA